AAAUCUCCCUGAUAAGCAAAGGAAAACAGUUAGAUAUAUUUUAUCAGACCUGAAAGGUUUCUUCUGUGUCUUUGGGGAAACUGCCUCUGUCCCAGUGAAAGCAGUAUAUGGGUCACUGGAGAAAAAGGGUAUACGUGGUCACUAGAGACUUCAUAGGAUCUUAGAAUCAUAGGUUGGAAAAGACCUCUGAGAUCAUCUAGUUUAACCGUUAACCAUCCAUCACCAUGCCCACUAACCAUGACCCUCAGUGCCACAUCUACCUACCAAUCAUCUGACUGCAGAACAAAGUGUGGCUGAUCUGGGGGGUCGGCAAAACCAAAAACAGAAACUACUUCAGAAAAGACUCCUAUUUCACUCAAAAUGAGAGAUGGAAGAAACACUAGCUCUUCUGCUCACCUUGUACAUCUACAAUGACAGAGAGGAGUCUGUCUCUUGUGUGCCAUAUGGAAAACUGGGCGCUUGAACAUGAGAGGAUGGCAAAGCUGAAAGCGGUUGUUGCAAAAGGAGGUGCAAACCAUGCUCUGAAAGGCUGA
Molecule: long non-coding RNA, 533 nt
Filed under: Coturnix japonica (Japanese quail)
Lineage: Eukaryota; Metazoa; Chordata; Aves; Galliformes; Phasianidae
Description: lncRNA (ENSCJPG00005010417.1)
Source: RNAcentral